GGGCCCAUAGCUCAGCUGGUAGAGCAACUGACUUUUAAUCAGUAGGUCCCAGGUUCGAGCCCUGGUGGGCUCACCA
Molecule: transfer RNA, 76 nt
Filed under: Alphaproteobacteria bacterium
Lineage: Bacteria; Pseudomonadati; Pseudomonadota; Alphaproteobacteria
Description: tRNA-Lys
Rfam family: tRNA
About the family: Transfer RNA (tRNA) molecules are approximately 80 nucleotides in length.
Source: RNAcentral